RNAcentral lists this long non-coding RNA (2461 nucleotides) under Homo sapiens (human). RNAcentral's name for it is "non-protein coding lnc-ABR-3:1". The record is from RNAcentral. Lineage: Eukaryota; Metazoa; Chordata; Mammalia; Primates; Hominidae.
GCGAAUGAUCCGCCAGCCUCGGCUUCCCGAGGUGCCGGGAUUGCGGACGGAGUCUCGUUCACUCAGUGCUCAAUGGUGCCCAGGCUGGAGUGCAGUAGCGUGAUCUCGGCCCGCUACAACCUCCACCUCCCAGCCGCCUGCCUUGGCCUCCCAAAGUGCCGAGAUUGCAGCCUCUGCCCGGCCGCCACCCCGUCUGGGAUGUGAGGAGCAUCUCUGCCUGGCCGCCCAUCAUCUGGGAUGUGAGGAGCCCCUCUGCCUGGCUGCCCAGUCUGGAAAGUGAGGAACGUCUCUGCCCGGCCGCCAUCCCAUCUAGGAAGUGAGGAGCGUCUCUGCCCGGCCACCCAUUGUCUGAGAUGUGGGGGCGCCUCUGCCCCGCCACCCCGUCUGGGAUGUGAGGAGCGUCUCCGCCCGGCAGCCACCCCAUCCGGGAGGUGAGGGGCGCCUCUGCCUGGCCGCCCCUACUGGGAAGUGAGGAGCCCCUCUGCCCGGCCAGCCGCCCCAUCCGGGAGGGAGGUGGGGGGUCAGCCCCCCCGCCCGGCCAGCCGCCUCAGCCUCCCAAGUAGCUGGGAUUACAGGCGUGAGCCACCAUGCUUGGCUGAUUUUUGUAUUUUUAAUAGAGACGGAGUUUCACCAUGUUGUCCAGGCUGGUCUCGAGCUCCUGACCUCAGGUGAUCCACCCGCCUCGGCCUCCCAAAGGGCUGGGAUUACAAAUGUGAGCCACUGUGCCUGGCUUUUUUUUUUUUUUUUUUUUUUGAGAUAGGGUUUUACGCUGUCACCCAGGCUGGAGUGCAGUGGCAUGAUCACAGCUCACUGCAGCUUCGACAUCCUAGGCCCAAGCGAUCCUCCCACUUCAACCUCCUGAGUAGCUGGGACUACAGGCGUGCAGCACCAUGCCCAGAUCAUUUUUCAUUUUAUUAGAAACUGAGAUGUCGCUGGGUUGCCCAGGCUGGUCUUGAAUUCUUGGGCUCAGGAAGUCCUCCUGUCUUGGCCUCCCAGAAUGCUGGGCUUACAGGUGUGAGCCACCACACCCUGCCUAGUUUACUUUCUUAAUAUGUAGUAUUGAAACAGCUGUAUCAAAAAACAAAGUUAGAGCCAUACUUACUGCAUAUGAGCAGAAAUUCCAAUUGGAUCAAAGAUUAAAAUGCAAAAAAACAAAAAGAAAAUAUAAAAACAUGAUUUUAUGAGUGCAGAGUAAGGCCUUUCUUACCAUAUCACAAUAUCAAAAAUCCACCAAAAAGAAAUCAGUAAAUUUGGCUAAAUAAAAAAGUCUGCAGGGAAAUUGUAAAGUUCCAUGGUUUGAUUGUUUAUUCCCUCCACAACUCAUGUUGAAAUUUAAUUGCCAUUGUAACAGUUUUUUUUUUUUUUUUGAGGAGUCUCACUCUGUUGCCCAGGCUGAAGUCCGAUAGCACGAUCUCAGCUCACUGCAACCUCCACCUCCUGGGUUCAAGUGAUUCUCCUGCCUCAGCCUCCUGAGUAGCUGGGAUGACAGGCGUGCGCCACCACGUCUGGCUAAUUUUUGUAUUUUUAGUAGAGAUGGGGUUUCACUGUAUUGGUCAGGCUAGUCUUGAACUCCUGGCGUCAGGUGAUCCGCCCACCUCGGCCUCCCAAAGUGCUGGGAUUACAGGUGUGAGCCACCGCACCCGGCCUGUAACAGUGUUCAACAGUGUUCGGAGGUAGGACUUUUAAGAGGUGAUUAGGCCAGGAGGGCUUCACCCUUGUGUGUAGGCUUAACGCUAUAUCUUAUAAAAGGGCUUUGCCCUCAUCUGUAGUGGAUUAAUGCCAUCAUUGUAUAAAAGGGUACGUCUGGGGCCCUGUUGCUGCUUGCCUCUCCGCCCUCUGCCGUGUGAGUAACACGCUCCCUCUCCCUGGAUGAUGAACUUACAAGGCUCUGUCUUGGAAGCAGAGAUCAGGCCCUCACCUGGCACUAGGCCCGUCGCUGCUUUUUGCUUUCCAGAACUGUGCAUUUCUGUUAGUUAUACAUGUCCCAGUCUCAGGUAUUGUUACAGCAGCACAAAAUGGACUAAUGCAAUAAGCAAAGUCAAAUGAUAAACGACAAGUUUGGAAAAAUAUUUUCAACUCAUAUCACAGGCAAAGAGCUAAGUUCUCUGGUAUUUAAAGAAUUCCUACAAAUGGAUAAGAAAAAGAUUAACAGCCCAAGAGGAAAAUGGGCAAAAGACUUAAAUAGAUGGGCCGGGUGCGGUGGCUUACCCUUUCAUCCCAGCACUUUGGGAGGCCGAGGCGGGUGGAUCACUUGAGGUCAGGAGUUUGAGACCAGCCUGGCCAACAUGGCAAAACCCGGUCUCUACUAAAAAUACAAAAAUUAGCCAGGUGUGGUGGUGGGCGUCUGUAAUCACAGCUACUCGGGAGACUGAGGCAGUAGAAUCGCUUGAACCUGGGAGACAGAGGUUGCAGUGAGCCGAGAUGGUGCCAUUGCACUCCAGCCUGGGCGACAGAGCGAGAC